GCGGACCGACUCUUCUCUCUCUCGCCAUUCACCUCACGCCAGCUUCAUCCCUUCGGUCUUCUGCUCUGGCUUUCAUUUUCUUUUCCCUACUCGAUCGUUUCCCUUGGGCCAGAACCGCCUCUGCCCUUCUUCCUUUUGUUUCUUCAUCUUCGGCCGUUGAUGUCCACCAGCGAAGCCACCAGUCAACGUCCGCUUCUUCCCUUGUGAUUCUCCACCGAACGCCUGUUGCUUCUCCAUUGGAUCGGCGCCAGCAACUGCUUCUCUCGGUCAAAAACCCAGCGAAGCCAAUCUACCAAAGUUGACUCCAGCGUUUCUUCAUCUUGCCAGCGUCACCAGCUCGCCACCUGCCAUCCCAUCAGCCAGCAACGAAACCACCGCCAGUCUUGCUUCCUUCGUGUCUUCAACUUGGCCGCUCAAAAUCAACCGAAGAAGCCCCGUUCUCCACCAUUGUUGACUCCUUCGAACAGCCCAUGUUCCACCGAGUUCCCCAGCUGAAGACACGUCCAACGAUUGCUGCUCCUUAGUCAACCAUCAACUCUUGAAGCCCCUUGUUUGACUGCAUGCAACCCAUGCCCACACGGCCACUCGUCCAGCAGCUUCGGCCACGUCCGCACAGCCCCCGAACUCCCACCCAGCAGCGACAAAACACUGCAGCUCCCACGUUUGGUCAACAAAGCGGUGGAGCUCUCGCCAUCUUGUUGACCUCAAAGCCACGCGGCCUUUAACGCCGAACGUCGAUCUCUCCACCCAGCUGCCCGAAUUUUGCUGGUCUUCUUCAACCGGAGUUCCUCACGCCUGGUCAACAGCGAAGCCUGCAGCAGUUCAGUUCAGCCCGCUCCGUUUCCUUCGCUGUUUCCUCGAGCCCAGCAGCAACGCUCGAUCAGCCCAGUGUUUGGCCCAUUUCGGCCCAGCAGUCCAACUCAGCUCCGUUCAGCCCAUCAGCCUGCAAAAAUUUCAGAAGCCCAGUCCGAUUCAACCCACAUCUUGUCCAUUUGAAGCCCAGCCCGUGAGCAAGAAGUCUGCAGCAAUUCGGCCCAAGUGAACCUCAGUCCAGCAGCCCAUUUUUUGAGGCCUUAGCCCAUCAACCAAGCCCAGAAGUUUCUGUGGGCUUGCAAGGUUUCUUGGCCCG
Molecule: long non-coding RNA, 1129 nt
Filed under: Eucalyptus grandis
Lineage: Eukaryota; Viridiplantae; Streptophyta; Magnoliopsida; Myrtales; Myrtaceae
Description: long non-coding RNA (EGRA_LNC003525)
Source: RNAcentral